CCUACGGGUGGCAGCAGUCGAGAAUCAUUCACAAUGGGGGAAACCCUGAUGGUGCGACGCCGCGUGGGGGAAUGAAGGUCUUCGGAUUGUAAACCCCUGUCAUGUGGGAGAAAAUUAAAAAGAUAGUACCACAAGAGGAAGAGACGGUUAACUCUGUGCCAGCAGCCGCGGUAAUAAGGAGGUCUCAAGCGUUGUUCGGAAUCACUGGGCGUAAAGGGUGCGUAGGCUGUGUCGGAAGCCGUGUGUGAAAGGCGCGGGCUCAACCCGCGGACGGCACAUGAUACUGCGAGACUAGAGUAAUGGAGGGGCAACCGGAAUUCUCGGUGUAGCAGUGAAAUGCGUAGAUAUCGGGAGGAACACUCGUGGCGAAGGCGGGUUCCUGGACAUUAACUGACGCUGAGGCACGAAGGCCAGGGGAGCGAAAGGGAUUAGAUACCCUUGUAGUC
RNAcentral lists this ribosomal RNA (446 nucleotides) under uncultured bacterium. RNAcentral describes it as "partial 16S ribosomal RNA". It matches the Rfam family "Bacterial small subunit ribosomal RNA", at positions 338 to 795 of the family's 1533-position model. The record is from RNAcentral.